Molecule: ribosomal RNA, 981 nt
Filed under: insect metagenome
Description: bacterial SSU rRNA
Rfam family: Bacterial small subunit ribosomal RNA
Source: RNAcentral
GUUUGAUCCUGGCUCAGGACGAACGCUGGCGGCGUGCUUAACACAUGCAAGUCGAACGGAAAGGCCCUGCUUGCAGGGUGCUCGAGUGGCGAACGGGUGAGUAACACGUGGGUGAUCUGCCCCUUACUUUGGGAUAAGCCUGGGAAACUGGGUCUAAUACUGGAUAGGACCAUGCUGUAGGUGGUGUGGUGGAAAGAUUUUUUCGGUAAGGGAUGAGCUCGCGGCCUAUCAGCUUGUUGGUGGGGUAAUGGCCUACCAAGGCGUCGACGGGUAGCCGGCCUGAGAGGGUGGACGGCCACAUUGGGACUGAGAUACGGCCCAGACUCCUACGGGAGGCAGCAGUGGGGAAUAUUGNACAAUGGGNGCAANCCUGAUNCAGCNANGCCGCGUGNNNGANGACGGCCUUCGGGUUGUAAACCGCUUUUGAUUGGGAGCAAGCGAGAGUGAGUGUACCUUUCGAAUAAGCACCGGCUAACUACGUGCCAGCAGCCGCGGUAAUACGUAGGGUGCAAGCGUUAUCCGGANUUAUUGGGCGUAAAGAGCUCGUAGGCGGUUCGUCGCGUCUGGUGUGAAAGUCCAUCGCUUAACGGUGGAUCGGCGCCGGGUACGGGCGGACUGGAGUGCGGUAGGGGAGACUGGAAUUCCCGGUGUAACGGUGGAAUGUGUAGAUAUCGGGAAGAACACCGAUGGCGAAGGCAGGUCUCUGGGCCGUCACUGACGCUGAGGAGCGAAAGCGUGGGGAGCGAACAGGAUUAGAUACCCUGGUAGUCCACGCCGUAAACGGUGGAUGCUGGAUGUGGGGCCCGUUCCACGGGUUCCGUGUCGGAGCUAACGCGUUAAGCAUCCCGCCUGGGGAGUACGGCCGCAAGGCUAAAACUCAAAGAAAUUGACGGGGGCCCGCACAAGCGGCGGAGCAUGCGGAUUAAUUCGAUGCAACGCGAAGAACCUUACCUGGGUUUGACAGGAACUGGUGGAGGUCGC